AGUGAACGCUGGCGGUAGGCCUAACACAUGCAAGUCGAACGGCAGCACAGUAAGAUCUUGCUCUUACGGGUGGCGAGUGGCGGACGGGUGAGGAAUACAUCGGAAUCUACUUUUUCGUGGGGGAUAACGUAGGGAAACUUACGCUAAUACCGCAUACGACCUACGGGGGAGAGCAGGGGAUCUUCGGACCUUGCGCGGUUGAAUGAGCCGAUGUCGGAUUAGCUAGUGGGCGGGGUAAAGACCCACCAAGGCGACGAUUCGUAGCUGGUGUGAGAGGAUGAUAGGCGACCCUGGAACUGAGACACGGUCCAGACUACUACGGGAGGCAGCAGUGGGGAAUAGUGGACAAUGGGCGCAAGUCUGAUCCAGCCAUACCGCGUGGGUGACGAAGGCCUUCGGGUUGUAAAGCCGUUUUGUUGGGAAAGAAAAGCAGCAGGUUAAUACCCCGCUGUUCUGACGGUACCCAGAGAAUAAGCACCGGCUAACUUCGUG
This 492-nucleotide ribosomal RNA is filed under the name uncultured bacterium. Its description in RNAcentral is "partial 16S ribosomal RNA". It matches the Rfam family "Bacterial small subunit ribosomal RNA", at positions 29 to 507 of the family's 1533-position model. The record is from RNAcentral.